Molecule: long non-coding RNA, 1884 nt
Organism: Chenopodium quinoa (quinoa)
Lineage: Eukaryota; Viridiplantae; Streptophyta; Magnoliopsida; Caryophyllales; Amaranthaceae
Exons: 3
Source: RefSeq, a predicted model, not a curated record
AUAUCAUGAUACUACCAAAAUUAACAUCAUAGAUUAAUCGCAUGAUUUACAUCAUAGAUUAAUUGUUAGUUCGUCCCUCAUAUUUCUUAGUCUACCCUUGAUUUACAUCAUAGAUUAAUUCGUAUCUCAUCAUAGAUCCCAGUAGACAUUAUAAAUAUCAAACAACAACACUAAAAACCAUUUAAUUAAAAACCAAUUUCUAAAAAAAAGGGGGAACCGCCCAAAUUUUUCGAACCACCGAGGCUCAAACGCCCAGGUGUUUGAAAUUUCUAGGCGUUUCAUCUCAACCGCCCAGAAAUUUCGAACAACCAUACAUUCGUUCGAACAAACUUGGCGUUUGAGCCUAGAUUGGUCGAAAUUUUUGGGCGUUUGAACCCGAUUUCAGAAUAUAAAAAAAAAAUAAAAAAAAAAUAAAAAAACUUGUCUCCGGCGACCGCCAUUCCCUUGUUCUUUCUCGUUAUUUCCACGGCUAACGGUGUAGAUUGAGAAAUUGGAGGUAGAAGGAGGUGGUGGUGGGUGGUUAAAAGAGGAGGUGGUAGUGAUAAAAGCUUGAAUUUCAAGGUGGUUAAAAGUUGUGGGUGAUAAAAGGACGUGGUAGUGGUGGUGGUGGUGGUGGUGGUGUGGAGAGUGAAUUGUUUUUAGUAGAGAGAAAAGGGAGUGAGGGUUUGGGGGUUAAAUUGUGGGGGGUAAAUUCCUUUUUUCUAUAUAAGGGUAAAUUUGUAAAAAUAUUUUACGUUGUGGGCGUUAGAUAUAGAUUCGAGGGCGAUAUUUAACAACCCCAUUAUUAUACACCAUAUACACGUCACGUGUUAGGCCAAAAAAAGCCAAACAGAGAUUCAUCAUUCAUGAGCGUUAGAUUUCUCGAACACACACUUUGAUCAUCAAACAUUCAAACCUAAUUUUUAGAUGAACGAAAGCGACGACUCUAAUUUCAGAGAGAUUACGAGGAUGUAGUUUUGGUUGCUGUCAUCUAAGGAUUUCAUGUUGUGCAUAGAUUUAUUGAAUACAAAGGAUGUAGUUUUGGUUGCUGUCAUCUAAGGAUUUCAUGUUGGGCAUAGAUUUAUUGAAUACAAAGGAAAGUAGGAUUGGAAACUUGAGGAUACUGCUAAGAGCUUUCCAUGCUCCAUCUCCAAGCUUUUCAAAAGGCAAGGGGAGGAUCUAUAAAAGACUCCAGCUGCCAAGAUUGCCCGGAUAUUCUGCCAUUAAAAUUCUGAGUGAAAGCUCAGAACGCUUGCAGAAGAAUGCGCCGGAUGCCUCUACGGCAUCAAAUAGACGGAAGUGAAUGAAUGCCAACUAUGUUGCAUCCUUCUCACCAAGUACUUCUUUUGGUGCAGAUCUUACAUCUGACGAGCCGGAUCUUGUUUGGUUUGCCAAACGGAUGGUGAGGACCCUCACCUGGUUAGAGAAAAGUUCCAUACCUGACUUUGACCGGAUAAUGGGCCACCACAAGAUUGGAUGACUUUGUAAGACAAGAAUUUUAGGAUGACUUUGAUGAAGUGGUGCAACAGGUUUAAGGAGUGAGAAGUUGGUCAUUGGGGGAAAUUUCAAUGGACAUGUGAUCUCUCACCUAUUGACUUAUGGUCCUAAGGAAUGCUCGAAGGAAGAGUUACGUUGAUUGUAAGGUGAUCCCUAGUACAACAACUCAACAUAGACUUGUGGUGCUUGAUUUUUGAGGUCGUAGAUAUGUAGGGACGUGAAGACCUCAAUCUCCAUGUGAAUGUAUUGUGAUUAAAUAAUUUAAAACAUUCUUCUUAAGGACUUUAAUUUUCCAACUAUUAUUAAAUAGUCUAUGAUGUGGAUAGUGUUUAUCAAGUCUUUUGUUUAAUGGCCUCAUUGAUAUAGUAAUCCCUUUAUCAACAAAUAAUAGUUCUAUUUCACCCAAAA